RNAcentral lists this ribosomal RNA (464 nucleotides) under uncultured bacterium. RNAcentral describes it as "partial 16S ribosomal RNA". It matches the Rfam family "Bacterial small subunit ribosomal RNA", at positions 28 to 507 of the family's 1533-position model. The record is from RNAcentral.
GACGAACGCUGGCGGCGUGCUUAACACAUGCAAGUCGAACGGAAAGGCCCUGCUUGCAGGGUACUCGAGUGGCGAACGGGUGAGUAACACGUGGGUGAUCUGCCCUGCACUUCGGGAUAAGCCUGGGAAACUGGGUCUAAUACCGGAUAGGAGCCAUUUUUAGUGUGAUGGUUGGAAAGUUUUUUCGGUGUAGGAUGAGCUCGCGGCCUAUCAGCUUGUUGGUGGGGUAAUGGCCUACCAGGCGGCGACGGGUAGCCGGCCUGAGAGGGUGGACGGCCACAUUGGGACUGAGAUACGGCCCAGACUCCUACGGGAGGCAGCAGUGGGGAAUAUUGCACAAUGGGCGCAAGCCUGAUGCAGCGACGCCGCGUGGGGGAUGACGGCCUUCGGGUUGUAAACUCCUUUCGCUAGGGACGAAGCUUUUUGUGACGGUACCUAGAUAAGAAGCACCGGCUAACUACGUG